Molecule: ribosomal RNA, 500 nt
Filed under: Listeria monocytogenes
Lineage: Bacteria; Bacillati; Bacillota; Bacilli; Caryophanales; Listeriaceae
Description: bacterial SSU rRNA
Rfam family: Bacterial small subunit ribosomal RNA
Source: RNAcentral
GGUGCAUGGUUGUCGUCAGCUCGUGUCGUGAGAUGUUGGGUUAAGUCCCGCAACGAGCGCAACCCUUGAUUUUAGUUGCCAGCAUUUAGUUGGGCACUCUAAAGUGACUGCCGGUGCAAGCCGGAGGAAGGUGGGGAUGACGUCAAAUCAUCAUGCCCCUUAUGACCUGGGCUACACACGUGCUACAAUGGAUAGUACAAAGGGUCGCGAAGCCGCGAGGUGGAGCUAAUCCCAUAAAACUAUUCUCAGUUCGGAUUGUAGGCUGCAACUCGCCUACAUGAAGCCGGAAUCGCUAGUAAUCGUGGAUCAGCAUGCCACGGUGAAUACGUUCCCGGGCCUUGUACACACCGCCCGUCACACCACGAGAGUUUGUAACACCCGAAGUCGGUAGGGUAACCUUUAUGGAGCCAGCCGCCGAAGGUGGGACAGAUAAUUGGGGUGAAGUCGUAACAAGGUAGCCGUAUCGGAAGGUGCGGCUGGAUCACCUCCUUUCUAAGGAA